UACGUAGGGGGCUAGCGUUAUCCGGAUUUACUGGGCGUAAAGGGUGCGUAGGCGGUCUUUUAAGUCAGGAGUGAAAGGCUACGGCUCAACCGUAGUAAGCUCUUGAAACUGGAGGACUUGAGUGCAGGAGAGGAGAGUGGAAUUCCUAGUGUAGCGGUGAAAUGCGUAGAUAUUAGGAGGAACACCAGUAGCGAAGGCGGCUCUCUGGACUGUAACUGACGCUGAGGCACGAAAGCGUGGGGAGCAAACA
This 250-nucleotide ribosomal RNA is filed under the name uncultured bacterium. RNAcentral describes it as "partial 16S ribosomal RNA". It matches the Rfam family "Bacterial small subunit ribosomal RNA", at positions 524 to 774 of the family's 1533-position model. The record is from RNAcentral.